This 305-nucleotide long non-coding RNA is filed under the name Triticum aestivum (bread wheat). Its description in RNAcentral is "long non-coding RNA (TAES_LNC018065)". The record is from RNAcentral. Lineage: Eukaryota; Viridiplantae; Streptophyta; Magnoliopsida; Poales; Poaceae.
ACCAUAGUGCCAACAUAGUAGUACAUCAGAAAAUACAGGAAUGCAGCCUUGCCUUACAAAGUUACUCAACAGUCGUGGAAAACAUGAUCGUUCUUGUAAACAGAAGUUACGUUUUUUAUGAUUGCGUGCGCAUCCAUGCUGAAGGGAACAACAAUAUACAUCAACAAUAGCAACAGAACCUUUUAAGCUAAGCUGAGUAAAACGUAGACAUAGUUUUCUGAAUAGCUGCAGUGAGCUAGCGAUUCAUCCUCUUCCUUUUCUUCAAACCGGGAACACAGUUCUACCUAAAUUCCCGAGGAAAUCAU